This is a long non-coding RNA of Cyprinus carpio carpio, 1079 nucleotides long. Lineage: Eukaryota; Metazoa; Chordata; Actinopteri; Cypriniformes; Cyprinidae. The record is from Ensembl.
AUCAUAAAUAAACAGGGGGAAACAAAUAUUUUUUUAAAAAGAAAAUACUUUUUUUUUUAUCAAACAACAAUAUAAUAUGAACAGAUUGAACUGUGUUCCCUUAUAAUAAUCAAAUUGGUCCCUGUACACUGUUGAUCCUUAAAACAGACCCAUUAACCUACCCAUACCACCAAACCUGUUCCUAACCUUGCCCGUAUCACACCUCAAUAACAGAAAAAGUGUUGUGCAUAAACACAAGCUUUUUGUUACAGUACAGAUGGGUCGGAGACAGAAGAUCACAGGGUGAAGGUCCUGGAAGUAGCAGAAGAGUGGAGACGUUGAGGGCUGAAGACACACACACUCACGAAAGACACAGGAGGUAACUGGGAAUCACUGGAGACAGGUAGGUAUAGCAAUGGAAGUCCUUGAAGUCGGCAGAUAGGUAUUCCUAGUUGCGAACGAGACCGGACAGUGACUGUGUGUGUGUGAGUGUCUUUUAAGUGUUGGUGGAUGAUGGUGCUGACGAGGGGCAGGUGUGUGUGAUCAGUACUCAGGUGAGGGAGUGCGCUGUGGUUGGAUGGGGUUGGAGCCUGGCGUGUCUAUGACACUUUUAAUCAUUGUAUAAUAUCUGUCAAAAUCAUUUGAAGAUUUUCAAUAAGUGCUUGAUCAUAUGGAAUUGAAAGUUUAAUGACAUAUGUAAGCAAUUAUUUGUUUGAACAUGAUCUAAUGUUUAAUAAUUAGUUAACAUUAACAAGCACAUUAUCUCAUGUUUCGAACUCUUGUACAGGUUUAAAAAUGAAAAAAAUGAAAAGCACUUGAGCAGGUUUAAAAAUGAUCUGAUUUAGAUUUGUCCUGAGAAUAUUAACAAUACAAUAUAUUAGCCAUAUAGAAUUUAAAAAAUAUAUACGUUUAACAUGUCUAUGUAUGUGCAUUGAAUAUGUCUCUUAGCAACAAGCCUGCACAAUUGUGAGUGGUUGUAUCUUGUUCAACAAAUCCUACAAGUUGCCAGAAGGCAUUUGAGAGAAAUGUUCUCUGCUCUCUUCUGUUCAUCUCUGAAUGGCCCAGGGCUGUCUGCAUGAAGACUGCUCAUUAGCACCUGG